RNAcentral lists this ribosomal RNA (253 nucleotides) under uncultured bacterium. RNAcentral's name for it is "partial 16S ribosomal RNA". It matches the Rfam family "Bacterial small subunit ribosomal RNA", at positions 524 to 776 of the family's 1533-position model. The record is from RNAcentral.
UACGUAGGUGGCAAGCGUUGUCCGGAUUUACUGGGCGUAAAGAGCGCGCAGGCGGUCGUACAAGUCGCGUGUGAAAGCCCCCGGCUCAACUGGGGAGGGUCACGCGAUACUGUUCGACUCGAAGGCAGGAGAGGGAAGCGGAAUUCCCGGUGUAGUGGUGAAAUGCGUAGAUAUCGGGAGGAACACCAGUGGCGAAGGCGGUUACCUGGAGCUUUGCUGACGCUGAUGCGCGAAAGCGUGGGGAGCGAUCCGG